UGAUUUCUUUAUCAUAGGUGCAUACAGCAGUCAGCAGAGUAGUGGAGUACUUGGAGGUAACUACAGGUGUACAGUUCCCCUCAGCAAUUAUUCUUCUCCAUGGCUAUCUGCAUUUUGAGGCCCUAACUGACCAUGAAUACAAGUAUUCAUGUGUAUCUUGUGGUGACCAUCCAUCUGUGUCUUUCAUGUUACCUGUAUCUUUCCUUUUUACUGCAGAGAGCCUCCACAAGAUUUUAAUGGAGAGGUGGAUUUAGAUAUGUUUGGAAGGCACUGACAGAAGAACGAAUUGCUCGAGGAUUUUUUUCAAGU
This is a non-coding RNA of Danio rerio (zebrafish), 309 nucleotides long. NCBI's taxonomy places the organism in Eukaryota, Metazoa, Chordata, Actinopteri, Cypriniformes, Danionidae. The record is from RefSeq and is a predicted model, not a curated record.